Prunus mume (Japanese apricot) is the source of this 1780-nucleotide non-coding RNA. NCBI's taxonomy places the organism in Eukaryota, Viridiplantae, Streptophyta, Magnoliopsida, Rosales, Rosaceae. The record is from RefSeq and is a predicted model, not a curated record.
GAGAGUGCAUUUCGUUCCAUCAAAACAAGAAGAAGAAAAAGGAAGAAGAAGGAGAAAUAACUUCUCUGUCGUUUUGGCCUUCGGUUUUUCUUCUGCUUUAGAAUUUAAAGAGGAAUUCGGGAGAGAAUUCGCAGAGCUGGACUGUGUGUAAUGUUAAGGAUCUAAUUACGAAGCUUUUCUCUGAGCCUGUUGUGUGUUCGCGGGAGAGAGAAGGAGAGAAGAGCUUGCAGAGAUACAUUCAGAAGAGCUUUGGGAGGAAUUUGAAGUGAAAUCGAUUGCGAUUUCCUGGGAUAACUUCCAAGGUGGAUCUCAUUUCAUUGAAAUUUACAGAGAAAAGGUCUAGAAAUCUAGUUUAGAGGUACAUUUCCAGGAGAUUUGACCCCUUUUUUUUGAAGAAAUCUCAACUGGGGUAUGAGAUAAAGAAGAACAAGCCUCUCCCGUUCAUGAGUGUCAGGGACAUAGGCUCGAAGUUUCAAUCAUUUCGUUGAUUUUCGGCUCUAGAUUUGCAUUUUGCAAAGUCAGAAGGCCUAGAAGAGCAAGAUUGCCCAAAAGAAGCAAACUUUCUUUUGCAAAUUCAGGAUUGUAGCUGCUUGCGAAAUCUCAGUAUAACAGGUGUGCAAAAGGAGAUGGAAAGGGACUGUCUUAGGCACACCCAUACUAAAGACACCCACAAUCCCAACACUCGAGACAAAACCGGAGGGGACGCCUCAGCCUCUCUGCUGUUGAGAGCGAGCUCCGAUGCCAUACGACACGCAACGACGUCGUCCGAUUUCGUUUUGCAGUGGGGGAACCGCAAGCGCCUCAGGUGUAUGAAGAUCCAGGUCAAGGACAAGGGCAAAGACGACUCCGACGCCCCGGUUACCCGAACCACAGUCCGGGUCGACCGCCGGGUCGUCCGACCCGAUAAGGACCCGGCCAAUCAGCCCUCCACCGCCGGGAACUCUAAUCAGACGAAUGGGUACUUGAAUCUCCGUCGACGGCCGGGCCGCCCGCCGGGUCCCCCGCCCCGAUAAGGCCCCGGCCAAUCAGCCCCCCACCGCCGGUAACUCUAAUCAGACGAAUGGGUAUUUGAAUCUCCGUCAACGGCCGUUAUCUCCGCAGCAGCCGCCACUUCAGCGUGUUCUCAGAAACUCAGAGACCACAACAAGUGCCAUGAGAGGCCAGAGCAACGGAGGCUUGAGGGGAAUUGUUUCACCCGACAACAGAGCGGGUGCGCACGAUAAGAAAGGCAACCACCACCACCACCACCACCAUAAUAAUGAGAAUAACAACACCAAGUCUGCAGCCUCUUCGGACACGGCGCACGAUAGUAAGAAGGGGGGAGGUGGGUCUUCAUCGGGAAGCGGCGACGCAGCGUUGGUGCCACCGAUGGUCUGGCCGCCGAAGUUCGUGAUUGCUUUGACCAACAAAGAGAAAGAAGAGGACUUCAUGGCAAUCAAGGGGUCAAAAUUGCCUCAGAGACCCAAGAAGAGAGCGAAGUUCAUUCAACGCACCCUCAAUCUGGUAAGCCCAGGAGCAUGGCUCUGUGAUCUGACCCUGGAACGGUACGAGGUCAGAGAGAAGAAGAUUUCCAAGAAGAGACCAAGAGGGCUAAAGGCGAUGGGCAACGUGGAGUCUGACUCUGAAUAGAAAGGAGUUUUAGUGAAAAAACUAAUAUAGCAUUUUCGUUUUUUUUCCCCUUCUUUUUUUGAAGGUAUGAGAAAAAUGUUAGAACCUUUGUAAAAUCUUCACCUUUCAACCAUCAGAAUAAUGAAUGGAUUCAUUUCCGGUCCUGUAUACA